RNAcentral lists this long non-coding RNA (453 nucleotides) under Bos indicus x Bos taurus (hybrid cattle). RNAcentral's name for it is "lncRNA (ENSBIXG00005029207.1)". Lineage: Eukaryota; Metazoa; Chordata; Mammalia; Artiodactyla; Bovidae. The record is from RNAcentral.
AUCAUAAAUAACCACUAAAAAAAUAACAUCUUUAUAUAAAAUAUGGAGUCGACUUUUAAUGUGAUUCUCUUUCACCUUGAUUUUUUUUUUCUUUUAAAUGCUUGCUAUUAAAUGACAAAGUGGCUGCGGCUGGUACAGGAAGGCUCUGAGGAUCGGUGUGGGGUUGCGGUGGCCCAGGCCAUCUGAGCUGAGGGACAGAGCCAGAGGAGUCUGUCAACUUGGGAAGGACAGAAGUACAAGUGCGUUUUAACAUCCUCAGUGGCGGUAGUGAGAGGACAAAUACUUUCAGAAUGAGUAUUUUCUUGAAAAAAUAUCUUGAAAAGUUACUAAAUCACAGAACUCAUCAAACGUGAUCAGACCAGCAAAGUGGAAUCAGUCAUUAAGAGUUCAAAGGGAUUGGAGUUGUUACAGUUGAAUCUUUCUUGGUACAGAUGAGGAAACUGAGGUCCCUUG